Molecule: ribosomal RNA, 470 nt
Filed under: uncultured bacterium
Lineage: Bacteria
Description: partial 16S ribosomal RNA
Rfam family: Bacterial small subunit ribosomal RNA
Source: RNAcentral
GACGAACGCUGGCGGCGUGCUUAACACAUGCGAGUCGAACGAGAUCCAAUGUGUAGCAAUACACAGGAAGAUCUAGUGGCGAACGGGUGAGGAACACGUGAGAAACGUACCCCAGACUUUGGGAUAACAGUCCGAAAGGACUGCUAAUACCAAAUAACGUCGGAAGUCCGCAUGGACAUCUGACGAAAGGGAUUCCGGUUUGGGAGCGUCUCGCGGACCUAUCAGCUAGUUGGAGGGGUAACGGCCCACCAAGGCAACGACGGGUAGCUGGUCUGAGAGGAUGGUCAGCCACACUGGGACUGAGACACGGCCCAGACUCCUACGGGAGGCAGCAGUGGGGAAUCUUGCGCAAUGGGCGAAAGCCUGACGCAGCAACGCCGCGUGCGGGAAGAAGGCUUUCGGGCUGUAAACCGCUUUCAGUAGGAACGAAACUGACGGUACCUACAGAAGAAGGAGCGGCCAACUAUGUG